Ricinus communis (castor bean) is the source of this 1241-nucleotide long non-coding RNA. RefSeq lists it as uncharacterized. The record is from RefSeq and is a predicted model, not a curated record. NCBI's taxonomy places the organism in Eukaryota, Viridiplantae, Streptophyta, Magnoliopsida, Malpighiales, Euphorbiaceae. The transcript is spliced from 3 exons.
UUUCCCUGGUGAGAGAAGAGAGGAAAGAUAGAAAGGAAGCGAUCAACUGGAUUGGAAGGAGUUGGUGGACUCCACCAUGAAAGUUUCUUGUUUGUUGGACAAGAGGAAAAGAAAGUUCUUUGGAUUCUAGAAAGUGGGUGCAGUUAUAAAGUAGGUGCUUCCAUCUCCAAUCAAAUUCCACCUUUUUCUGGUCAAAGGAUUUGGGGAAGAUACAGCAUCAUUACUUUGUUCAUUUAUCUUUUUAGGCCUUUUAACAUAAUUGAAGAAUUGCAAAAUCUUUCAAGACCUUAACGUCGAAUAUUAAAGAUGAUUAAAUUGGAGUAUUUAAUUUCAAGAUUUAAUGGUACGAUAUUAGAAAAUAUGCAAAAUAUAUAUAUAUAUUUAUUUAUUUCUUAGUCAAAUAUAAAUAAUUUGGGUUUGUGUUUUUUUUGUUUUAACAUAUUAGUAUGAUUGAAUAGCUUUUUACCUUGGAUGGUAGAAUGUGUCCAUGUUUACAACUACAUUAGGAUAAACUAAAUCAGUGAAAGAAUGUUGAAUGGAGGAUUCGCAGUUGAGUCUUUCAAAAUGGGUAGGAGCAUGACCUUGAAAUAGUCAAAAUAAUGGAUCACUGAAGAUGUAUCAAGCGGCGAUGUGUGAUCGCGCAACCACUUUAAUAAUCAGUAGACUGUUCAUUUAUACAGAUACGAGUUUUAUGUUCAAAAGAAAGAUGGUCCGGAGAGGGAAGUAGAGAUUAAAAGUUAAAACAGAUAACUUGUGGGAGACAGGGAAAUCAAAUAGGUGUCAAAACCUGCAAGUUACAGCAACCAAAUCUUUCAAAAGGGUUUCUCGGUCAUCUCUGCUUCUGGUGCUGCUCCUAGGUAUAGAUAUGCUAUCGGAUUGAUCUGCUGCUGUUUCAAUCAACCAGGGCUUGCGUGCGGGAGCAGGAUUCGCUUUCCGAGAAGGGUGACCUUAGAACUUAAAUUACCCAUCCCCCUAUUCAACAACAGAGAUGGGAUUUGAUUCGAAUGAGGCUUUCCCGUCCCUUCGGUCAGUAAGCCCUCCCGCCGUAUGAAAGCAAUACUCUAACCACUGAGUUAAGUAGGUCAUUUAUCAUCCCAAAGUUAAACAUGAAAUCUUGCCUUUCUUUUUCCUUUAAAAAUAGAUACAAGUUAUUUACAAUUGAAUGAUUUUGAAUAGUUUAUUUGUAUUUAAUUCAAAGAAUUGUGCUUUACUUAAUUCGCAUUUAAACCUUUUUCUUCUUC